Dermacentor albipictus is the source of this 188-nucleotide small nuclear RNA. RefSeq annotates it as U2 spliceosomal RNA. The record is from RefSeq and is a predicted model, not a curated record. NCBI's taxonomy places the organism in Eukaryota, Metazoa, Arthropoda, Arachnida, Ixodida, Ixodidae.
AUGUCAUCAGCCAUCAAGAAAGUGCAGAGGUAUACACCUGCAGUAUCAGUUUAAUAUCUGGUACAAGUUGUAUUUGGACCCAAUAUAUAAAACUUAUUUUUGCAAGUUGGUGCAGUGCUUGAAGCCUGCUUCACCUCCGCCGCGGGUCGGCCUGGUAUUGCACUAUCUUCGAGAUCUGUUCAUGGUUU